RNAcentral lists this small nucleolar RNA (69 nucleotides) under Myotis lucifugus (little brown bat). RNAcentral's name for it is "Small nucleolar RNA SNORD112 (ENSMLUG00000023451.1)". The record is from RNAcentral. Lineage: Eukaryota; Metazoa; Chordata; Mammalia; Chiroptera; Vespertilionidae.
UGGAAAAUGAUGGGUAUGUCAGGAACCCAGGAUUAUGAUUAAUCCAAUUUUGUGCAUCUGGGGUCCAAA